CGACCUCGAGCGCAGCUUGGUGUUGAGGGAUGCCCCGGCACCCUUUGAAAGCAUCGGCGGCAGCGCAGCUCCAUCGCAGCACAAUGCGUGAAGAGCUGUCAACUGCCCGCCUCGCACCUUCCCCUCCGGGGACUACCA
RNAcentral lists this unclassified non-coding RNA (138 nucleotides) under uncultured Ascomycota. RNAcentral describes it as "sequence contains ITS2". The record is from RNAcentral. Lineage: Eukaryota; Fungi; Ascomycota.